Molecule: signal recognition particle RNA, 299 nt
Filed under: Cebus imitator (Panamanian white-faced capuchin)
Lineage: Eukaryota; Metazoa; Chordata; Mammalia; Primates; Cebidae
Description: Metazoan signal recognition particle RNA (ENSCCAG00000004326.1)
Rfam family: Metazoan signal recognition particle RNA
About the family: The signal recognition particle (SRP) is a universally conserved ribonucleoprotein.
Source: RNAcentral
GCCUAGUGCAGUGGCACGUGCCUGUAGUCCCAGCUAUUCGGGAGGCUGAGGCUGGAGGAUCUCUUGAGCCCAGGAGUUCUGGGCUGCAGUGCGCUAUGCCAAUCGGGUGUCCGCACUAAGUUCGGCAUCAAUAUGGUGAUCACCCGGGAGCGGGGAACCACCAGGUUGCCUAAGGAGGGGUGAACCGGCCGAGGUCGGAAACGGAGCAGGUCAAAACUCCCGUGCUGAUCAGUAGUGGGAUCGUGCCUGUGAUUAGCCACGGCACUGCAGCCUGGGCAACAUAGCAAGACCCUGUUUCU